RNAcentral lists this ribosomal RNA (292 nucleotides) under uncultured bacterium. RNAcentral describes it as "partial 16S ribosomal RNA". The record is from RNAcentral.
GGACUACCCGGGUAUCUAAUCCCGUUCGCUCCCCUGGCUUUCGCACCUCAGCGUCAGUUGCCUCCCAGGACCCUGCCUUCGCCUGUGGUAUUCCUCCGGAUCUCUACGCAUUUCACCACUCCACCCGGAAUUCUAAGUCCCUCUGAGGCCCUCAAGCCCCACCGUCUUCCCGGCACUCCCCUCGUUAAGCGAAGAGCUGGCACCGGAAACGCGCAGGGCCGCCUGCGUGCGCUUUACGCCCAGUAACUCCGGACAACGCUUGCCCCCUACGUCUUACCGCGGCUGCUGGCAC